GUAAAAUAUAUAUAGUGCUUGUGCACAUGUACAUUCCAGGUCAAAACUGCCAACAUCAUCACAGGCAAUGAUACUGUCAUCUCUGCGAUCUCUGUGAUCACUGCAUUUCAUGUUGUUGUAUUCUUUGUUUCAUUUGUAAAAUCCUAUGGAGCCUUGGUGGGAUAACACCUGAAACAGAAAAGCAUGCCUCUGAAUCAGCAGGACUUGGACUGGUCUCCAUAGUUUUCCUUAAGGUCACAGGGUCACAGGGUGAAGUAUAUCCUCAUUGAUUUUUGGAUGAACAGAAUAGUCUCCGAGUCAAGAUGGUCCUACUACAUCAGUCUACUCUCACUUGCAGGCAGUAGCUCCAUCGAGGAAGGGUUCAAGGGCCAUUCUGAUGGCAUGGUCGUCAUCGUCGUCAUCUCCUCCUGCAAGCUGGUGGCCCUGAUCCUGCUCCAGGUCUUCAUACUCUUGGC
Brienomyrus brachyistius is the source of this 455-nucleotide long non-coding RNA. RefSeq lists it as uncharacterized. NCBI's taxonomy places the organism in Eukaryota, Metazoa, Chordata, Actinopteri, Osteoglossiformes, Mormyridae. The record is from RefSeq and is a predicted model, not a curated record. The transcript is spliced from 3 exons.